Molecule: regulatory RNA element, 100 nt
Organism: Methanohalobium evestigatum Z-7303
Lineage: Archaea; Methanobacteriati; Methanobacteriota; Methanomicrobia; Methanosarcinales; Methanosarcinaceae
Rfam family: Pyrrolysine insertion sequence mttB
Source: Rfam
UAGGCAGACUCCAAGGUACCUGAUGCUCAGGCAGGUCAUGAGAAGACAAUGACAACACUUCUCCCAGCACUCUCGGGUGCAAAUACCCUGUACGGCUCAG